GACGAACGCUGGCGGCGUGCCUAAUACAUGCAAGUCGAACGCAGUGGGGACGGGGGAGUAACAAGUGGGUGACCUCCCAGCUGAGGGGAUAAAACUUGGAAACAGGUGCUAAACCGAUACUGAUGGAUGGACCCGGGGUGCAUUAGCUAGGUGGUGGGGUAACGGCUCACCAAGGCCACGAGGCAUAGCUGACCUGAGAGGGUGAUCGGCCACACUGGAACUGAGACACGGCCCAGACUCCUACGGGAGGCAGCAGUGGGGAAUCUUGGGCAAUGGGCGAAAGUCUGACCGAGCAACGCCGCGUGAGUGAAGAAGGUUUUCGGAUUGUAAAGCUCUGUUGGUGGGGAAGCGGUAUCUAACCAGAAAGCAACGGCUAACUACGUGCCAGCAGCCGCGGUAAUAC
RNAcentral lists this ribosomal RNA (403 nucleotides) under uncultured bacterium. RNAcentral's name for it is "partial 16S ribosomal RNA". It matches the Rfam family "Bacterial small subunit ribosomal RNA", at positions 28 to 526 of the family's 1533-position model. The record is from RNAcentral.